This 497-nucleotide ribosomal RNA is filed under the name uncultured bacterium. RNAcentral describes it as "partial 16S ribosomal RNA". It matches the Rfam family "Bacterial small subunit ribosomal RNA", at positions 28 to 507 of the family's 1533-position model. The record is from RNAcentral.
GAUGAACGCUGGCGGCGUGCCUAAUACAUGCAAGUCGAGCGAACAGAUGAGGAGCUUGCUCCUCUGACGUUAGCGGCGGACGGGUGAGUAACACGUGGAUAACCUGCCUAUAAGACUGGGAUAACUUCGGGAAACCGGAGCUAAUACCGGAUAAUAUAUUGAACCGCAUGGUUCAAUAGCGAAAGACGGUUUUGCUGUCACUUAUAGAUGGAUCCGCGCCGCAUUAGCUAGUUGGUAAGGUAACGGCUUACCAAGGCAACGAUGCGUAGCCGACCUGAGAGGGUGAUCGGCCACACUGGAACUGAGACACGGUCCAGACUCCUACGGGAGGCAGCAGUAGGGAAUCUUCCGCAAUGGGCGAAAGCUUGACGGAGCAACGCCGCGUGAGUGAUGAAGGUCUUCGGAUCGUAAAACUCUGUUAUUAGGGAAGAACAAAUGUGUAAGUAACUAUGCACGUCUUGACGGUACCUAAUCAGAAAGCCACGGCUAACUACGUG